RNAcentral lists this ribosomal RNA (1022 nucleotides) under Microbacterium sp. Its description in RNAcentral is "bacterial SSU rRNA". It matches the Rfam family "Bacterial small subunit ribosomal RNA", at positions 434 to 1465 of the family's 1533-position model. Lineage: Bacteria; Bacillati; Actinomycetota; Actinomycetes; Micrococcales; Microbacteriaceae. The record is from RNAcentral.
UUUUAGCAAGGAAGAAGCGAAAGUGACGGUACUUGCAGAAAAAGCGCCGGCUAAUUACGUGCCAGCAGCCGCGGUAAUACGUAGGGCGCAAGCGUUAUCCGGAAUUAUUGGGCGUAAAGAGCUCGUAGGCGGUUUGUCGCGUCUGCUGUGAAAUCCCGAGGCUCAACCUCGGGCCUGCAGUGGGUACGGGCAGACUAGAGUGCGGUAGGGGAGAUUGGAAUUCCUGGUGUAGCGGUGGAAUGCGCAGAUAUCAGGAGGAACACCGAUGGCGAAGGCAGAUCUCUGGGCCGUAACUGACGCUGAGGAGCGAAAGGGUGGGGAGCAAACAGGCUUAGAUACCCUGGUAGUCCACCCCGUAAACGUUGGGAACUAGUUGUGGGGUCCUUUCCACGGAUUCCGUGACGCAGCUAACGCAUUAAGUUCCCCGCCUGGGGAGUACGGCCGCAAGGCUAAAACUCAAAGGAAUUGACGGGGACCCGCACAAGCGGCGGAGCAUGCGGAUUAAUUCGAUGCAACGCGAAGAACCUUACCAAGGCUUGACAUACACGAGAACACCCUAGAAAUAGGGGACUCUUUGGACACUCGUGAACAGGUGGUGCAUGGUUGUCGUCAGCUCGUGUCGUGAGAUGUUGGGUUAAGUCCCGCAACGAGCGCAACCCUCGUUCUAUGUUGCCAGCACGUAAUGGUGGGAACUCAUGGGAUACUGCCGGGGUCAACUCGGAGGAAGGUGGGGAUGACGUCAAAUCAUCAUGCCCCUUAUGUCUUGGGCUUCACGCAUGCUACAAUGGCCGGUACAAAGGGCUGCAAUACCGUGAGGUGGAGCGAAUCCCAAAAAGCCGGUCCCAGUUCGGAUUGAGGUCUGCAACUCGACCUCAUGAAGUCGGAGUCGCUAGUAAUCGCAGAUCAGCAACGCUGCGGUGAAUACGUUCCCGGGUCUUGUACACACCGCCCGUCAAGUCAUGAAAGUCGGUAACACCUGAAGCCGGUGGCCCAACCCUUGUGGAGGGAGCCGUCGAAGGUGG